This is a long non-coding RNA of Oncorhynchus kisutch (coho salmon), 2410 nucleotides long. RefSeq lists it as uncharacterized. NCBI's taxonomy places the organism in Eukaryota, Metazoa, Chordata, Actinopteri, Salmoniformes, Salmonidae. The record is from RefSeq and is a predicted model, not a curated record. The transcript has 2 exons.
GAGACUGGUACCCAGAGAGACAACUACCCUGCAUGUCCAGGAGGAGGAUCUAAAAUCACACCCCAACCCAACUGCACCAGAUGGCAAUAUCACCAAGCCCAAAACUGAGAAGGGGGCUAGUCAAAGUAAAAAAGUAAGUAAUGUUGACAAACAUGUCAGUAAAAUAUUUGUUCGAAUGAAGCACAGUAUUUGAUCAAGCCAGCACUGCAACACCAGAUCAUCUGGCCAUGGAAUACUGUGUUCUCUUUUCAUCCAGAGCAGAAAGCAAUGCUGCCCAAAACAGGAAGGCCACAGAUUAUUAUCCUAUUAGACAAGAGUUUCAGAGAAAGCAAAGCUGAAUUGAAGGUCAGUUUAUAAUACCAGAGUGGGUUGUGCUUGAAGAUCAACCGUGCCAUGCAAGAACAAGUAAAAAAAAACAUGUUCUUGCUCAGAAUUGAAUGUAAUCAAUGACACCUUGAUUACAUGAUAAAAAAAUGGAGUUGAAGAAGGACUGCAGGUUAGUUUAGAAAUUAAAGUAACAUUGUACUGAAAUGGAUCAUAUAACCUGGAAUUUGAUUUGACCUGUACUUGAACCCCAAUAGGCCAAACAUAUAGAGGGGAAGGGAAGAGUAGUAUUUGCUGUCAGAUAUUUCAAGAAGGGAAAGUUUGUAAUUGAGUAUCAUGGAGACUUGUUGCAUCUGGCUGAUGCCAAGGAGAGAGAGGCUCUGUAUGCCCAAGACCCUGGGACUGGCUGCUACAUGUCCCAUUUCCAGUAUCUCAGCAAAACAUACUGGUGUGGAUGCUACAAAAGAAUCAACUCGCCUGGGAAGGCUGCUAAACCACAGUAAAACUGGCAACUGCCAGACCAAACUCCAUGACAUAGAUGGAAUAACACAUCUCACACUGGUGGCUUCCAGGGACAUUGAGUCAGAGGAAGAGCUGCUUUAUGACUAUGGUGACCGCAGCAAGGAAUCCAUCUCGGCUCACACUUUGCUCAAAUACUGAUGUGCUGUUUUUACACCAACAGAGUAUUCAAGAGAAUUACUAGGUGCAUUUAAUUAAAGCUUAUUUUUUUUCUUGGCCCUGAAUAUUCCCUUGGCACUAAACUGCCAACUUGGCAUUCCAGGUGAGACAAAUUAAGUGGGCAUUUUGUUUAUUUUUAAUCUGCCCUUUCAAGCAAUGUAUUUGGGCAAAACUGUGGCAGUAUGAACAAUAUUGAAGACAACCUUCAAGAUGACACAUGGAUCAAUUUGUUAAAACUGUACAUCAAUAUAUUGCUGGAUUUGGGUGUAGUUUUUAUACAUAUUUAGGCCUGUGCUUCCAAGAAGAUAUGAAUAAUAUUUGUAACAUUAGCAAUUUUUUUAAUGCCGUUUUUAUAUUCGUUCUAAUUUAUAAUGCUAGGUAUGGUUCUAGUUGAAGCAACAAUUUUCAUAUGAUCGUCAAUGCUCUCCAGGCUUCUGGGACACCAGCUUAUACUUGAUUUCAAAUGUAGAUAUUUUGCAAUGGGUGAAAUCCUAAUACAUUAACAAUUUACAAAGUAAGUUGCUCUAUGAGAGUAAAUUAAGUGUACAUAGACAAAUCUGUUCAGAUAUCUGGCUAGCAUGGAAGCUCAUUUUGCAAUGAAUAGAAAAGCUAGCUUGGCCUUUUGACAAUGUACCAAUUAAUAUUCACAGACAUGUAACAGUCCAACAUCCUCCCUGUAGGUCAGUGUAUUACAAAAUGUGUAACAAAUGAAGUGAUUUGUAACUUUAUCAUUCUAAACUGCUUUCUUUUACAGCUGCUCUAUUAUUUGAAAGGUAAAAUGGACUUUAAAAGCCCUUGUGUGAACUAGUGUAAAAUAGUUAUGCUCAGUCACUCCGAGCCUAAAAUGUAAAUUAUUAUGCAAUUUCUGGACAAGGAACAAUUUUGGUAACACUUUUAUAUUUGCUACAAGAGCUUAUAUAUUUAUCUAAUCGACAAAUCAUUUUGGGAAGGAUUCAUUACCAUGAUCUGUGCUACUCAACCCCAAGUUAGAGGCAGAUUAUGCUGAUGGGAUUCAGGUGUAUGAGUUAGGUAUAGUGAAUCUGGGGCACUAUAGUGGUCAUGGGGCUCGAUUCCAUCAGUAUCGCUGAAGUUCAAUUUGAAAUGGCUUUUUAAUUCUGAACUGACAUGCAGUGUUUGCCUUAAUGUUGAUUGCAUCUCUUUAGCACUGUAGAUAGAAUCAAGCCCUUGGAGGUCUGGUCUUUGUCUCUAAUAGGGCUACUGUUGCAACCAGUCUUGAAUGUUGGUCUUUGAACAGUUCCAUCGUCACAAUGUUCAACCACGUGUCCAAAGGAACUGUUACAGUUCCUUUGUUUGAGGACACAGGUGUGAGUCUGUACCAAUGAUGUAUAUAAACCCUGGAUUGCUAAUGCUAUAUUUUGACCAUUGAGAGGUUUUGAAGCCAUCAGUA